RNAcentral lists this ribosomal RNA (1205 nucleotides) under metagenome. RNAcentral's name for it is "bacterial SSU rRNA". It matches the Rfam family "Bacterial small subunit ribosomal RNA", at positions 8 to 1235 of the family's 1533-position model. The record is from RNAcentral.
AGAGUUUGAUCAUGGCUCAGGACGAACGCUGGCGGCGCGCCUAACACAUGCAAGUCGAACGAGAGAGAGGGAGCUUGCUUCCUCAAUCGAGUGGCGAACGGGUGAGUAACGCGUGAGGAACCUGCCUCAAAGAGGGGGACAACAGUUGGAAACGACUGCUAAUACCGCAUAAGCCCACAGGUCGGCAUCGACCAGAGGGAAAAGGAGCAAUCCGCUUUGAGAUGGCCUCGCGUCCGAUUAGCUAGUUGGUGAGGUAAUGGCCCACCAAGGCAACGAUCGGUAGCCGGACUGAGAGGUUGAACGGCCACAUUGGGACUGAGACACGGCCCAGACUCCUACGGGAGGCAGCAGUGGGGAAUAUUGCACAAUGGGGGAAACCCUGAUGCAGCGACGCCGCGUGGAGGAAGAAGGUCUUCGGAUUGUAAACUACUGUUGUUGAGGAAGAUAAUGACGGUACUCAACAAGGAAGUGACGGCUAACUACGUGCCAGCAGCCGCGGUAAAACGUAGGUCACAAGCGUUGUCCGGAAUUACUGGGUGUAAAGGGAGCGCAGGCGGGAAGACAAGUUGGAAGUGAAAUCUAUGGGCUCAACCCAUAAACUGCUUUCAAAACUGUUUUUCUUGAGUAGUGCAGAGGUAGGCGGAAUUCCCGGUGUAGCGGUGGAAUGCGUAGAUAUCGGGAGGAACACCAGUGGCGAAGGCGGCCUACUGGGCACCAACUGACGCUGAGGCUCGAAAGUGUGGGUAGCAAACAGGAUUAGAUACCCUGGUAGUCCACACCGUAAACGAUGACUACUAGGUGUUGGAGGAUUGACCCCUUCAGUGCCGCAGUUAACACAAUAAGUAAUCCACCUGGGGAGUACGACCGCAAGGUUGAAACUCAAAGGAAUUGACGGGGGCCCGCACAAGCAGUGGAGUAUGUGGUUUAAUUCGACGCAACGCGAAGAACCUUACCAAGUCUUGACAUCCUGCGACGAUGCUGGAAACAGUAUUUUCCUUCGGGACGCAGAGACAGGUGGUGCAUGGUUGUCGUCAGCUCGUGUCGUGAGAUGUUGGGUUAAGUCCCGCAACGAGCGCAACCCUUACUGUCAGUUACUACGCAAGAGGACUCUGGCAGGACUGCCGUUGACAAAACGGAGGAAGGUGGGGAUGACGUCAAAUCAUCAUGCCCUUUAUGACUUGGGCUACACACGUACUACAAUGGCG